This 199-nucleotide ribosomal RNA is filed under the name uncultured bacterium. RNAcentral describes it as "partial 16S ribosomal RNA". It matches the Rfam family "Bacterial small subunit ribosomal RNA", at positions 328 to 539 of the family's 1533-position model. The record is from RNAcentral.
ACGCUCGACACCUACGGGAGGCAGCAGUCGGGAAUAUUGCGCAAUGGAGGAAACUCUGACGCAGUGACGCCGCGUAUAGGAAGAAGGUUUUCGGAUUGUAAACUAUUGUCGUUAGGGAAGAAAAAAGACAGUACCUAAGGAGGAAGCUCCGGCUAACUACGUGCUAGCAGCCGCGGUAAUCUGAGCGGGCUGGCAAGGC